CUCCUUGCUUUGAUGCAUUACCCAAUGUGAGGAAGGGAAGCUGUACCCUCAGGCGUUUUGAAAGGACGUGUAGUCUAUCUGGGUCUACCAUUCCAUGGAGGGAGGGCUGCAGACUCACAGAAAGACACAAAGGUCUGCUCUUCACGCUGCGAAGUGGAGCACCGUUGGCCUUAAUUACACUCGCAAGCCUGUGAGCAUCGUUCUGUUCCUUUAAUAAGUGCCAGUAAGUACUCUCUGUGCAUGAGCUAUGGAGCACAGGAAAAGGUAAGCAAUUGUCCCUGUCUAUCAAAGAGCACAGUCUGCCUGCCCAUGGACGUGCAGUGACCAUGAGAAUACCGUGUCCUCGUUACAUAACGGGAGCUCCUCUACAUCCAGCCUCUCCAUAUGGUUAGAAGGCUUCAAGAAGCAGACAGGUAUUGAGCUCAUACAAACUCUCUUGGCAACGUGUAAGCUCCGCGGCUAAAGUGUACAGCCUCACUGGGCACUCCAACUUUUUCCUCUGACUCUGGCUACCUGAAUUUCUUCUCACCUGGACAGGAAAGACUGCCCUGAAUUCUAAACUAAGAGUCCCCGCAAAAGUUUUUCAGAUCAGCACAGAUUAAUCGGUGAAGUCCACACUGACUGGAGGCCUACACAUGAGGUUUAGACACAUUGAUGCAGAUUAAGAGAAGAAUAAGUGUAUCCUUUUGGUAGAGCAGCUGGAAAUCCUCUUCCCUGCUUUGUGGUCUGGCCUUCGACACCUCAAUUCAUCUCCUUCAAACUUAUGUGAAAUAAAUAAUCAUUGAUA
This is a long non-coding RNA of Mastomys coucha (southern multimammate mouse), 787 nucleotides long. RefSeq lists it as uncharacterized. The transcript has 3 exons. NCBI's taxonomy places the organism in Eukaryota, Metazoa, Chordata, Mammalia, Rodentia, Muridae. The record is from RefSeq and is a predicted model, not a curated record.